RNAcentral lists this long non-coding RNA (878 nucleotides) under Notechis scutatus (mainland tiger snake). RNAcentral's name for it is "lncRNA (ENSNSUG00000008242.1)". The record is from RNAcentral. Lineage: Eukaryota; Metazoa; Chordata; Lepidosauria; Squamata; Elapidae.
CAAAGGGCCCGUUGCAGCAGGGGGGUGGGGAGGCCUCCAAGGAAAAGCCAAAAGCCGCGCCUUGCAGUAGCUAGCAGCCCUCCUACAUGCACAGCUGCUGGCCAGCUUUUCCAGAUGUCCUCUCCAAACAGCAGCAUUUUAUUUUUUUUAGAAAGGAAUCUGAUUAAAUGUAUCCAUUCUCUCUGCUUCUGCCCUCUCCAAGGAAGACUUCCAGCAUUUGCAGAAGAGCUGCUUCAGUUUAUCUUGCCUCGCAGGAAGGAGAGACUUGGAGGUAUCUGAUCACCAAGACCCCCCGUCCUACCAUGCUUCCACUCUGUCACCCCCAGUCCUAGCCUGCAUUUCAGAUUCCAGGAUAAUCAGAGGGGGGAUUUAGGACACAGACUUCUUUUCCUCCUUCCUGUAUUUCUCCUACUACACUCAAGAAUUUUUUAUUACACAAACUGGUGUUGCUCUUGCCCUUUUUUAUGAGGCACACAAAGACACUACAAUGCUUUCUAUGUCCAAGAACUCUUUUAAAAUUAAACACCCUCUUCCGGAUACAGGGCCCAGGAGUCCAAAGUCCCCCCACAUGAGCAGAAAGAGGAAUGGGAAUUUUCACUCUCUCCAGUGCAUUGAAGGUGAAUAUAUCCAAGAAGUAGCAGAUCAUGUUAAAAAAAGCAGUUCUUCCCGAGAUGGAGAAGGCCAUAUUCCUGGCACACUUUACUGUACUAAUCUGAGAGUGGCCUUCUUACCAGAUUCCUCUCCAAACAAUGAGAAUGACUCUUGCUAUCUGUUUAUGUGCAGUGACUAUGAAGUGGCCCUACCAGGUAUUGGAAAACUGGUGGCUGGUAGGUUCAGAGGAAAAAAUGCCUAUUUAAUCUUUGGGUUUAUAAUAGCCA